ACAGAACAAACUGCAUUAGAAUGCAAGGCAAUAAAGCAAAAAACUAGAAACAUCCUGGACAAAUAAAUACUAGCAGUUUAAUUAAAACAAAGUAGUCCAACAUGUGCCUCAGAAAUAGUUAAGUUUUAAAGCAUAUGUUUCUGCCAAUGUACCAACACAAGAUGGACUUAAUACCAAAAAGAAAAAAAAAACAGUUCAACCUUUUUAUUAAAAAAAAAAAGAAAAAGAAAAAGAAAUGACAGCAAAAUCCCUAAAAAAAGGAUAAUUAACUUUUCAAUGGCGACUAUAUUACAUACGUGGACAGUAAUUUCCAAAGAGGCACACUAAUGGGGGCACGAAGUCUGCUACAAAAUAGCUGAGACAAAACAAUGUACCUCAAAAUGUUUUGCAGGACUACACUGUCUUUUCCUUCAGAAGAGGCUUUUGUAUGUCUUCUUACUCGGCUUAGCUCCAUCUUCAUCUGUGCAUACUUACGCUGCACUGUCAAACAGUAACAAAAAGCCCUAAUCAAAGUGAGAAACAAUACACUUACCUCUGUCUGAUCUGAGGUCUUAUCAGAUCAGUUUUAAUUGGACUGAGUGUCACCUUCAGAUUUAAUGUCUUCACUGGUCCCAUUGACCUCAUUCUUAGUGUCACUUUCCUUCGAUUCAGGGUUUGUGUCUUCACUCUGCUUUUCUCGACUACUGGACUUCACACUACUCUUUUUAUCAUCAGAUCCCUUCUUUUCUGCCAUAAAAGAAGACAUUGACCAUGGAAUUUACAGUGAAACACAACAAAUCUACUACUAUUUAAAACAGGAAACAUUGAGAGCAAAGAACCAUUUCCCACGGCUGUGAGACAGUCUGCAGAGCUCAGUGCUGUCAGCUGUAGAUUACAGAGGGAAAGGGCAAGAAGACCAAAAAGAAACAGAAAAUUCUCUCAAACCUGCUAGAGUCACCCUAUAAUUGACAACUUCAGUAAAUUUCAUUCUAGAUAAAGACCAUCCAAAGGCAACAAGAAAGACAAAAGACAAAUACACAAAACGGUUAACAUGGGUUAAUUAAGUUGCAAGGCAAAAUGGCACCCAGAAAUUUAACAUUUAAAUGACACGUUUAUUAAAAGAAAACUUAUACAUAUUUAAAUAUCCAAGAGGGGGCACACCUAGUAAGAAAAUGAGAUCUUCAAAAAAAUCUAAAAACCCAAAUUUGUGUUUUCUGUAAUGAAAUCUAAGAGGUUUUUUUCCUAAAGGAAAAAAUUAAAGCUGAGUUUGGAGGAAAAAAAAGGCAGCAGUUUCCAGCUUUCCCUAGAGUUGCAUUAGAAAGGUGAAAAAGCCCAUGUGAAGGAAAAGUGUCGUCUGCCUUCCAGCUGUACAUUACAUGUACCUCUACAAAAGGAUUCUGCAAAACUAUUAAACACACCUUUCCAUAAAAGCUAUUUUCCCCUUAAAACUAAGAACAAUUCAUUAGUUUGACAAAGUAGCUCAUAACAGGAAGAUGUCUGAAGAGAAGCACUCUCCAGACAGUUGUUACAGACACAACAUCAAACACCUGGAAGGAGGAUGGGAGCACAAAAACCAGUGCUGUGGACUUGCAUCUACAGAAAGGAAGGAGUGUGCAUCAGGUCCAGCCUUUGUAAACCAAGCACAGCACUGUCUAAGUGGUUAACCAUAGACUUGCUUCCCAGCUGUCUGUCCACCUGUGGGAACUAUGCUCUAACUGACCUUGUGGGAAAGUCCUCCCUUUGAGCCUUAUGGGCUUCUCCGGUGCACAGGUAGCUUCAAUGAGGAAGAGUCGUCUUGUUGCUCCGUAGAGGACUAGUAGUCCAAAAAUCUUAUCUUCUGGCCUAUGUAAAUAUGGUAGAUCUUAAUAGUCCUAAGGAUAUCCAUGUGUGUUGGAUUUUAGAGUUAGGGAUUAAACAGAAACUCUCUGAACAGAAUAUAGAUACCUAUGGGUAGAAAAUUACUCCCCCUUUGUUGAGUUCCGUUAGGUGCUUCUGUUAUGAUUACAUCACGUGGAGCAGUGAACAGUCUUACUCAUCUGCCAUUAUUAGAUGUUUGUUAGUACAGAUGCCUGAUGCCCACAGGCCAGAAUGCUAUCUUUGUAUAUUCAGAAGUGUCUAGAACUUCCCUAAGUCAAUAGACUCAUCAUUUCUAGAAGUCUAAAGUUUACGUUAAUGCUAUAAUGGCAGGCCCAACAUAAAUAGGCCUGCUAAGUUUUUUCAGUAUCUAGUCUUCUCUUUUCCCUAGUCUCACCAGGAAACUUCAGAAUUUUACUAAAUUCAACUUGUCACAAGUCAGUAAUCAGGACAUGUUUUUGCUUCAACACAAAAUUAUACAAAUGUUGUCUAUUUAAGUGGCAAGACUGGAAAAGAACAAUUAAUAAAACAGAAAUAUGUAAUCAAAAGCUUCAUAAUACAUGGGUGAUUGAUUUGAUCUGAUGUAAGAGUCAUCAGGUAACUCUUCAAAACUGAUCUCACUUAAAAUAUACCAAAGCCUUUCUAAACAAAACAUAGUACAAGAGGAGACUUCACAGAAACAAUGUCUGAAUUAUAAUAAGCAGAGGC
RNAcentral lists this long non-coding RNA (2541 nucleotides) under Mus musculus (house mouse). RNAcentral describes it as "long non-coding RNA chr11:94292552-94295093". Lineage: Eukaryota; Metazoa; Chordata; Mammalia; Rodentia; Muridae. The record is from RNAcentral.